RNAcentral lists this ribosomal RNA (397 nucleotides) under uncultured bacterium. RNAcentral's name for it is "bacterial SSU rRNA". It matches the Rfam family "Bacterial small subunit ribosomal RNA", at positions 359 to 774 of the family's 1533-position model. The record is from RNAcentral.
GAAUAUUGCACAAUGGGCGAAAGCCUGAUGCAGCAACGCCGCGUGAGCGAUGAAGGCCUUCGGGUCGUAAAGCUCUGUCCUCAAGGAAGAUAAUGACGGUACUUGAGGAGGCAGCCCCGGCUAACUACGUGCCAGCAGCCGCGGUAAUACGUAGGGGGCUAGCGUUAUCCGGAAUUACUGGGCGUAAAGGGUGCGUAGGCGGUCUUUCAAGCCAGAAGUGAAAGGCUACGGCUCAACCGUAGUAAGCUUUUGGAACUGUAAGACUUGAGUGCAGGAGAGGAGAGUGGAAUUCCUAGUGUAGCGGUGAAAUGCGUAGAUAUUAGGAGGAACACCAGUAGCGAAGGCGGCUCUCUGGACUGUAACUGACGCUGAGGCACGAAAGCGUGGGGAGCAAACA